GACGAACGCUGGCGGCGCGCCUAACACAUGCAAGUCGAACGGAGCAUUGAAGCUUGCUUUGAUGCUUAGUGGCGAACGGGUGAGUAACACGUGAGCAAUCUGCCUUCGAGUGGGGGACAACAGUUGGAAACGACUGCUAAUACCGCAUAAGACCACGCUUCCGCAUGGAAGAGCGGUCAAAGGAUUUAUUCGCUUGAAGAUGAGCUCGCGUCCGAUUAGAUAGUUGGUGAGGUAACGGCCCACCAAGUCGACGAUCGGUAGCCGGACUGAGAGGUUGAACGGCCACAUUGGGACUGAGACACGGCCCAGACUCCUACGGGAGGCAGCAGUGGGGAAUAUUGCACAAUGGGGGGAAACCCUGAUGCAGCGACGCCGCGUGAGCGAAGAAGAUCUUCGGAUUGUAAAGCUCUGUCUUAGGGGACGAUAAUGACGGUACCCUGAGAGGAAGCCACGGCUAACUACGUG
This 465-nucleotide ribosomal RNA is filed under the name uncultured bacterium. Its description in RNAcentral is "bacterial SSU rRNA". It matches the Rfam family "Bacterial small subunit ribosomal RNA", at positions 28 to 507 of the family's 1533-position model. The record is from RNAcentral.